RNAcentral lists this unclassified non-coding RNA (361 nucleotides) under Hevea brasiliensis (rubber tree). The record is from RNAcentral. Lineage: Eukaryota; Viridiplantae; Streptophyta; Magnoliopsida; Malpighiales; Euphorbiaceae.
AUAGAUCUCCCCAAACGACCCGCUACCGAUCUUCCGACCAAGCCGAAACUUAUUACCAACGCGCGGCUCCAUCAAUACAACCCAGAAAAACUCAAAAAUCGAAACCCACUAGCUACAAUACAAACCCUAACGAACACCUCCCUAAAAAAUUUCCAAAAAUACGAAAAAACAAAGGACACUGUACACCGAAGCAACCGCACCGACAAAUCGGAAAAUGUCGCACGGAAACGAGGAAACCAAAGCAGGUAAAAAAAAGGAGAGAAGAGGGAAUUGAGAUCUAGUAUUUCGUGGCUUUCUGAAGAUUAGAGAAUCAAGAAAAAGAAAAAAAUUCCUAAUGUAGGGUUAGGUUAAUUACAGAUAA